This 439-nucleotide unclassified non-coding RNA is filed under the name Hevea brasiliensis (rubber tree). The record is from RNAcentral. Lineage: Eukaryota; Viridiplantae; Streptophyta; Magnoliopsida; Malpighiales; Euphorbiaceae.
GCAACUUAAAGGACUAUUUGUCAUGUCUUCUAUGGUACAUUUUCUGUUUUCAGGGCAUCCAAAACUAGCACAAUUUAAUUGUUGCUUAAAUUUCAGUAAGGAUGCUUCAUGAAUCCAACCAUACACAUUCUGUAAAUAGUUGACGAAAUCUUUUGCUUUCCGAUUUUCUGGAUGCAUGGUAGAUCUGUCAUGGAGGAGACUCUGCAGAGAAGAACUCCCUAAGAGAGGACCAAAGAAUGAGACUUUCUGGUUCGCUGUUAGUCGUUCCACAUUUGCAAGCAGUAGAGGUGAAGAAUCUGUAUCACUAUCCAAAUUGACUGGUAUUGAGUGAUCAGGAGGUGAAAAACAAACACCAGAAAUUUUAUCUGCAGUGGAGUAACCAAAUAUGUUGUUUUCUUGGUGAUCGGUAUUAUUGCAUCUAGAACUUCCUUUAGAUAGG